GCAGAUUCUCUUACGUCGGAGGCCUCGAUACAUCGAAUGAGAUUCGGAUAAAAUAUCAGGUUAACUGCAUUUUUUUUUUUUUGGAAAACAAGGGUGCCGAUAAGCAUGUCAAUGAGAUGCAGUAGCAUUGGGUAUUGUUGGCAGGUAGAUCUUGUCGCAUCCUUUAAAUUGUCCCUUUCCACAUAUUUUCGUAAUAAAACUACUCAUUCAUUAGGAUAUGCGAGCAAUGACUCGACACCAAAUCGAUAGCAGAAAAAGAAAAUAAUGAAUGCAUAUCAAUUUGCUCUAACGCCACUCUAAAACAUGAUCAAUG
RNAcentral lists this long non-coding RNA (313 nucleotides) under Musa acuminata (dwarf banana). Its description in RNAcentral is "long non-coding RNA (MACU_LNC007559)". Lineage: Eukaryota; Viridiplantae; Streptophyta; Magnoliopsida; Zingiberales; Musaceae. The record is from RNAcentral.